UGCAUCUAAGGAAAUCAGAUAUUGCCACAUCAAUGAAGAUUAAAAGAAGAAUGAACAAAAAAACAUAAAUAAGCGCAGAUUCUCAAGGAAGAAAAACAAUAAAAGCAAGCACUACACCUAUCCUGGAGACAAUGAACUGGCCUAGAGAUUAGAGACAAGGAUGAGGCAGGAACAGAGUCAUGUAUUCACAGCAGACAAAUGAUGCAUAGACGAUAAUUAAUUUGCUAGGCCUAUAUUCUUGCAGUUGUUUCAGCAAAAAAGGGAUGUUAAUUGGACUAAUAACCUCCAUUCCUGGUUAGCCAUAGGCCAUAGUAGCUAAUCACCCUUCUCCAGC
This 334-nucleotide long non-coding RNA is filed under the name Brachypodium distachyon (stiff brome). RNAcentral's name for it is "long non-coding RNA (BDIS_LNC002750)". The record is from RNAcentral. Lineage: Eukaryota; Viridiplantae; Streptophyta; Magnoliopsida; Poales; Poaceae.